AGUGAUGUGAAGCGAAACUCAAAAAAGUAAGUCUCAGUUCGGAUUGAAGGCUGAAAUUCGCCUUCAUGAAGCCGGAAUUGCUAGUAAUGGCAGGUCAGCAUACUGCCGUGAAUACGUUCCCGGGCCUUGUACACACCGCCCGUCACACCAUGGGAGUUGGUAACACCCGAAGUCAGUAGCCUAACCGCAAGGAGGGCGCUGCCGAAGGUGGGAUCGAUGACUGGGGUGAAGUCGUAACAAGGUAGC
Molecule: ribosomal RNA, 246 nt
Filed under: uncultured bacterium
Lineage: Bacteria
Description: partial 16S ribosomal RNA
Rfam family: Bacterial small subunit ribosomal RNA
Source: RNAcentral